CCUACGGGAGGCAGCAGUGGGGAAUAUUGGGCAAUGGGCGCAAGCCUGACCCAGCAACGCCGCGUGAAGGAAGAAGGCUUUCGGGUUGUAAACUUCUUUUCUCAGGGACGAAGCAAGUGACGGUACCUGAGGAAUAAGCCACGGCUAACUACGUGCCAGCAGCCGCGGUAAUACGUAGGUGGCAAGCGUUAUCCGGAUUUACUGGGUGUAAAGGGAGUGUAGGCGGGAAAGCAAGUCAGAUGUGAAAACCAUGGGCUCAACCUGUGGCCUGCAUUUGAAACUGUUUGUCUUGAGUACUGGAGAGGCAGACGGAAUUCCUAGUGUAGCGGUGAAAUGCGUAGAUAUUAGGAGGAACACCAGUGGCGAAGGCGGUCUGCUGGACAGCAACUGACGCUGAGGCGCGAAAGCGUGGGGAGCAAACAGGAUUAGAUACCCGGGUAGUC
Molecule: ribosomal RNA, 443 nt
Filed under: uncultured bacterium
Lineage: Bacteria
Description: partial 16S ribosomal RNA
Rfam family: Bacterial small subunit ribosomal RNA
Source: RNAcentral